Molecule: transfer RNA, 74 nt
Filed under: Candidatus Cardinium hertigii
Lineage: Bacteria; Pseudomonadati; Bacteroidota; Cytophagia; Cytophagales; Amoebophilaceae
Also listed under: 2 other names
Description: tRNA-Val
Rfam family: tRNA
About the family: Transfer RNA (tRNA) molecules are approximately 80 nucleotides in length. Their secondary structure includes four short double-helical elements and three loops (D, anti-codon, and T loops).
Source: RNAcentral
GGGUUCUUAGCUCAGCUGGUUAGAGCAUCUGUUUUACACACAGAAGGCCGUAGGUUCGAAUCCUACAGGGCCCA